This 253-nucleotide ribosomal RNA is filed under the name uncultured bacterium. Its description in RNAcentral is "partial 16S ribosomal RNA". It matches the Rfam family "Bacterial small subunit ribosomal RNA", at positions 524 to 776 of the family's 1533-position model. The record is from RNAcentral.
UACGAAGGUCCCAAGCGUUAUCCGGAUUUAUUGGGUUUAAAGGGUGCGUAGGCGGGUUAUUAAGUCAGUGGUGAAAGCUCCAUGCCUAACAUGGAAAUUGCCAUUGAUACUGAUGAUCUUGAGUACAUUUGAAGUGGGCGGAAUGUGUCAUGUAGCGGUGAAAUGCUUAGAUAUGACACAGAACACCAAUUGCGUAGGCAGCUCACUAAACUGUAACUGACGCUGAGGCACGAAAGCGUGGGUAGCGAACAGG